RNAcentral lists this ribosomal RNA (497 nucleotides) under uncultured bacterium. RNAcentral describes it as "partial 16S ribosomal RNA". It matches the Rfam family "Bacterial small subunit ribosomal RNA", at positions 28 to 507 of the family's 1533-position model. The record is from RNAcentral.
GAUGAACGCUGGCGGCGUGCCUAAUACAUGCAAGUCGAGCGAACAGACGAGGAGCUUGCUCCUCUGACGUUAGCGGCGGACGGGUGAGUAACACGUGGAUAACCUACCUAUAAGACUGGGAUAACUUCGGGAAACCGGAGCUAAUACCGGAUAAUAUAUUGAACCGCAUGGUUCAAUAGUGAAAGACGGUUUUGCUGUCACUUAUAGAUGGAUCCGCGCCGCAUUAGCUAGUUGGUAAGGUAACGGCUUACCAAGGCGACGAUGCGUAGCCGACCUGAGAGGGUGAGCGGCAACACUGGAACUGAGACACGGUCCGGACUCCUACGGGAGGGAGCAGUAGGGAAUCUUCCGCAAUGGUCGAAAGCCUGACGGAGCAACGCCGCGUGAGUGAUGAAGGUCUUCUGAUCGUAAAACUCUGUUAUUAGGGAAGAACAAAUGUGUAAGUAACUAUGCACGUCUUGACGGUACCUAAUCAGAAAGCCACGGCUAACUACGUG